Long non-coding RNA from Myotis myotis, 5558 nucleotides. RefSeq lists it as uncharacterized. The transcript is spliced from 3 exons. Lineage: Eukaryota; Metazoa; Chordata; Mammalia; Chiroptera; Vespertilionidae. The record is from RefSeq and is a predicted model, not a curated record.
CAGGAGGCAGCUGAUCAAUGAUUCUCUCUCAUCAUUGAUGUUUCUAUCUCUCUCUCCCUCUCCCUUCCUUUCUGAAAUCAAUAAAAAUACAUUAAAAAUAUAUAUACCUAAACUUUACAAUUUGUAAAACACCUGCUUUUGUGGAGGUAAUGCAGGUAAAGGUACAAAGUGCAAACAGUUCAAAUAGGUAUAAAGUACCUGCCUCCACCGAUGGUCCGAAGUCAGUGAACUUCCUGAAAGUGAACCAGGGACUUGCGUAGCCUCCCAGAACCCGCAGGUGAACAAGACAUGAGUGUAUCCAUCCGCGUUAGGAAACAGCAGCAAACACAUUGUAUGCGGGAAACGUGUUUAUACGUUUUACGUAUUUAUACAUUCUACCAGUGUAGUAGAGCGCGGACACGUAUUAAUACGUUUUUUAUAGACUAGCGGUAGAAUGCGGGUAACGUAUAAAUACGUGAACUAAAGUUAUGUAAUUUUACUGAACGUUGCUAUUUGCGCAAAAAAUUAGCAAAAAUGGCCUGCGCCACCUGCUAGCGCGCGAUAAAAACUACCCACAAACAAUGUGUUAACACAACGUCCUGUCCCUUAGCCGAGUGGAGACUUCCCUUAUGUCCGAGCCGUUCUCAGCCUUCCCAUCAGGUGCACAGCAGACACACAGACACGGACUACCCUUUACCUGCCCGGGGCCCCGCCAGGCAGAGCGUGUUCCGACCUUUCGUCCCUGUGAACGACCUGCAGUGACCAUCCCCACAGGCACCUGCGCCUUUACGUACAGGAAGGCACAGACACACACAGCCAGACUGGGUUUCCAAGAGGUUCAGCCAAACGACAUCCCACCAGCACAAUGAGCUGCAGGCCUCGCCCACGCCAGGUUUUAUCCACGCGAACUUUUCUUCUGUGAUGGAGGCUGAACGAUCUCAGCUGUGAUGUUUCUCAACACAAGUACCAGAAAAUCCAACUCAAGGAGGCUACAAACCAGGAAGUUUGUACUGCGGACGGGCAUCGUGCGCCCUGCCCUCCCGACCACGCUGCCUCCCCACUGCGCUGUCCUUCCUGGGUGCUGGCUCAUCCCUGGCCUGACCGCAGAAGGAAUGCAGUAGCUCAUCCAUGCACAGCAUCAUCCAGUAGGGGUGACAGUCCUAGGGGACAAGGAAGGGCUUCUCCAGAAAUUCCCAGUAAAUUCCCCAAAUGUCAUGACCCCAAUCAGGUCACAUGUCAAUUCCUGAAGCAAUCACUGACACAUGGACAUCGUUCCUGAGCCGGGCAGAGGGCCAGGCUCUGUGACACGCCCACUGGAUGUGCAGGGGCGGGGGGAUGUCCUGAAUGAAACUGGGUUUUGUCUGGAGGAGGCUGCUGGGUAGGCGACCCUCCCAUGAUGUGACGGUGCCGUUGUGCCAGUGCCUAGGAGGGGCCGGGGGAGAUGAGGCCAUUCAUCACCGGGGUGUGAAUGGGCCCUGACUCCCCAAGAACUACCCGAAGGAAAACAUUUCUGGGGAAAAAACUUAUAUUUAUUGCUUUAAAUCUGAACUCAUGAUUACAGCUGUAAACAUGGUGUAUUAAUCAGAGUGUGACCUGAACAGAAAGGGCAAAGCGGUUAGGUAAUGGUAUCUGAAAUGAGAACAAUCUCAAUACUUCAUCGCCCAGAAAUGCUGGCUCACUGACUUCAUGGUGCCGCUCGAGCCAGUGCACACACUCACUCAGCUCCUCCUCUCCAGCUCAGCACCACGGACAGCCAGGCGCGGACUGACAGCCAGGCGCGGACUGACAGCCAGGCGCGGACUGCUGGCCAUAGGACCAGCCUGCUUUGAGGCACCGCACGCUUCCGUCCUCUGAGCCCUAUUUUCUGCCGCCUGCCCCCGGCAGCGGGCACAUGCCAUGCUUCCUGGUCACCCAAACCCCAAGACUUUCCCCGUGAAACACGCUGCCACUAACACUUCUCUCCGUGUCCUCAUCGUGAACUACCAUUUUGUAAGUUUCAAUCUAUCAUUCCAAAAUGCCAGUAUCUCGCCACUGUGUUAGCUACGCCUCCCGGUUUCACCAUCUGCAAGCUGCAAGCAUCCUGAUGCAAGCAGAGAUAAAACCUGGGCGACGAGCAGUUUACUGACGCCCCAGAGCACUCGGCUCCUCCUGUGCCCGGAGCAAUGGACAGGGGAGGUUUCCACCACCUCAGCCGAGUGUCUGUCUGCCGCGAACGGUGACAGGGAGGGGGAAGCUAUCAUUAAGAAUAGAUGUGACUCAUUAAUGAGAGGACAAAUACCCCAAUUUAAAAUUGGACAAAGCAUCUAAAUAGCGUUUCUCCAAAAAUGAUAGCAGAUGGUCAAUAAGCAUCUGAAGACAUGCUCACUAUCGUUCCUCAUCAGGGAUGCACAUCAAAACCAGUGAGGUACUAUUUCACACCCACCAGGAUGGCGAUGACCAGGAGGCACAUAGCUCUGGCUGGUGUGGCUCAGUUUGUUGGCGCGUCACCCCAUGGACCAACAGGUCACUGGUUCCAUUCCCAGGCAGGACACUUGCCCAGGUUUGGGGCUCCAUACCUGGGGGGGGGAGGGGGGUCCCAGUAGAGGUACAUGAGGGAGGUAACCUAUGGACGUUUUCCUCUCUCAUUGAUGUUUCUCUUUCUCUCUCUCAAAAUCAAUAAAAACUUUUUUUAAAAAAAUAAGUCAUAUAAGAACAAGUGUUGAAAAUUGGAACCUUACAAACUGCUGGUGGGAAAGAAAAGUGGUGCAGGUGCUGGGAAAACAGCCCGGCAGUUCUCAGCAGCAAUCCCACCCUCGGCACAUGCCCAGGAGAACUCCCAGUCAACUCCCUGAACGGCAUGGCCCAACGUCUACACAAAAACAUGUUUGUGAGUGUUCACCGCAGCAUUAUCUGCAACAGCCAAAAAAUGGGAACCAGCCAAUGUUGCUGCCUGAGGAAUGGAUCAGUAAAAUGAGGUAUAUCCAUACCAGGUAAUAGUACUCAGCCACGAAAAGGAAUGAAGUACUGACACCCGCUACAGCCGGGUGUGUGCCCUGAUGGGAACUGAACCUGCGCCUUCCCGUGUACAGGACCGCGCCCCCCGGCCACACAGGCGGCUUUCUUACCUCUCAUGCUGACGCACACGAUGGCCAGCAUGGUACACACGAUCACCGCCAGGAGGACCAGGAGCACGACCAUGUAAUUGCCGAGCAGCACCCCCCGAGCACAGUCCAGCUUCCCUCGGUACCGGAGAUACAAGGCCAGGAUGCCAAGCCACCUGUCGAGGAACAAGGAGGGUCAGAGGUCCAUCCAAGGAGCUGCUUUGCCGAACACGAUAGAAAGAAAUAAAGGAGUGGGUCGUUCCCGUAAACGGGGUGAGGUUCGCCCUGAAACACAACGUUCACCAAUAAACGAUCUACAAAGUCAACCAAGCCUAUGACUUUUUAAAAUGAGUUUUAUACUUCCCCUGCUUACACGACUUCUUUUUCUGUGCCGGCUGUAAGGCAUGACAGGCUUUUACAGCCGUAAGCAAGCAAAUAUCACGGCUCAGAAACACACAACUGGUAAACCAACACACUGCGUGCGUGCGAAAUUAUUAACAAGAGAAAUGUUACUUCUGUGGAUCAACAGGAAACGGAUACGCACACACUGUAAGCUCCUGUGUCUAAUACAAAAGGCUAAGCGGGAAGACAGCAAACCUGCAGAGGCGCUGGUGGUGAACACUGAUGAACGUGAAAGGAGAACACUGUGGACUCACCAAUGUUCUGCCAUUCAGGGCACCACAACGCAAGGUGGCACUGAGCGACUGCCACUGGGGCUAUCGCGGCAGAGGGCACCGCCCGCCGGGCAAGAACACGGUGUUAGGAUUCAAGCCCAAGGAUUCCAGUCCCAGUGGAAACGGACGGGUCACUUCCUAUGCUUGUCAGUUCUGUGAUAGGAUGACCCCGUGUCUAGAGAAAGUGGGAACUGAACUCCGAAAGGCUUAGCUUUGAAAACUAUAAAACUACGCAGUAGCAGGUCCCAACGUUUUGUGUUUUUCUUUCUUUCCCCUCGAGAAUCUACGUUUUUAAAAAAAUAACAACGGUAUUAUUAUUCCUUGCUCAGACCCUCUGAGAACAGCCCUCAGGGCUCCGAUCCACUUCCUCCCGAUCCCACGCAGGAAAGACAAGGGAGGCUCCGCCAAGCCUGUCUGCAGGCGGCGGAACGCGGCCACGGGGCUCAGGGAGGCGCUGAGCCGUGCAAUUGCGCAUCUCACGGGGCAGGUGCGCCUCGAGGUGCUGGGCGUGCCCGCGCGGCGUGCGGGGAGGAUGCAGGGUGCAGGCGGCCCCCUCGGAUCGAGGAAGCAGAUCCCCAGGCCAUGGCUUUCGGGAGGCGAGGGCGUCCCGGCGGCUCUCGGCCAGGGCUCGCGCCGCAGGGGCCGGGGGGCUGGGGGGCUGCAGGUGCCCCGCAGCGCCAGUACCCACCUGGCGCCCCGGCACGCCUACCUCCUCCGCCCGCAGUUUGGCGGCUGUAAAAUGGGGGGAAUAACAGCACCUCCCUCCGCGGGCGGUGGGGAGGACUAGACCAGGGAACGCACGGCACACCCUGGGCACCGGGGACCUGCCGACACGGACACGGCCUCUCCUCCCGGACGGCGCGCCAGCCCCGACCCCCGCCCGCCCUCUGCCUCCGCGGCGGAGCCCGGCGCCCUCACCACAGCACCCGCAGGAACAGCUCGAACAGCCCCGGGAAGAACAAGUCGUCGCUGGCGAUGGCCCAGCGCCGGCCGAAGAGCACCAUGCCGGCCAUGGCGAAGGUCGCGCCGCCCGGCCCCGGACAGCCCGCCGCGCCGGUCACCACUCUGUGCCCCACGCCCUCCCGGCUUCACAACUAAACUGACCACGACUCGGCGCAGGCGCACGGGAGCCAGGCCGGGCGCAUGCGCACGGGGAGGCCGAGCCGGGCGCGCGCGGCGGGGAACCUCUGCGCCUGCGCAGUGCGCUGAUCCGGAAGAUGCCGGCCGACUCCAGGGCAGGUGUGCUGGCGGGUGAAGUCCGUCCUGCUCAUACUUUCUAGCGACCCUGUCGCACCGUCGGACCGAGCCCAUCCUCCGCUUGGAUCCUGCAGGGCUUCGCUUUGUGUGUUAAAUGGGCGCCGACCCCCAGCCCGAGGCCUUUCCCUAGUAUCGCACAUCACACGUCUGUGAGUGUUUACCGUCUCCCCGAGGUGGGGUUACUCCUCUCUCCCGCCAUCACCCCACUACCUGCCUCCUGGUAUCCCUCCCUGAAACUCGUUCUCGCCCGAGGGCUUCUUACAUUCUCUGUCUCCUCUGCCUGGGAUGCUCCUCCCGCAGGCAUUUCCAUGUCACUUCAUUCAGGCUCCUGUCGCUGCCUCAGACAGCCCUCCCCGCCUCCCUCUCUCAACAGCACACCCAGGUCCCAUUCCCUCCCCACGCCUCGGCUUUCUUCAUAGCACUUUGCCACUCCCUGUCUUUCAUGUUUAUUCCCUCCCUCCUCCCACCCUCCAGUGUCUGUGGUAUGAGCAUGGGGCACCCUGUCCAUUGCUCUUCACAUAAUGGAACACAUUGAAUAUUCCAUAAAUGAAUAAACAGACUUAUUAAA